UACGUAGGGUGCGAGCGUUACUCGGAAUUACUGGGCGUAAAGCGUGCGCAGGCGGUUCGUCAAGUCUGAUGUGAAAGCCCCGGGCUCAACCUGGGAACUGCAUUGGAUACUAGCGAGCUUGAGUGUGGCAGAGGGGGGUGGAAUUCCACGUGUAGCAGUGAAAUGCGUAGAGAUGUGGAGGAACACCGAUGGCGAAGGCAGCCCCCUGGGCUGACACUGACGCUCAGGCACGAAAGCGUGGGGAGCAAACAGG
RNAcentral lists this ribosomal RNA (253 nucleotides) under uncultured bacterium. Its description in RNAcentral is "partial 16S ribosomal RNA". It matches the Rfam family "Bacterial small subunit ribosomal RNA", at positions 524 to 776 of the family's 1533-position model. The record is from RNAcentral.